This 510-nucleotide ribosomal RNA is filed under the name uncultured bacterium. RNAcentral describes it as "partial 16S ribosomal RNA". It matches the Rfam family "Bacterial small subunit ribosomal RNA", at positions 28 to 507 of the family's 1533-position model. The record is from RNAcentral.
GACGAACGCUGGCGGCGUGCUUAACACAUGCAAGUCGAACGAAGAGCGAUGGAAGCUUGCUUCUAUCAAUCUUAGUGGCGAACGGGUGAGUAACGCGUAAUCAACCUGCCCUUCAGAGGGGGACAACAGUUGGAAACGACUGCUAAUACCGCAUACGAUCUAAUCUCGGCAUCGAGGAUAGAUGAAAGGUGGCCUCUACAUGUAAGCUAUCACUGAAGGAGGGGAUUGCGUCUGAUUAGCUAGUUGGAGGGAUAACGGCCCACCAAGGCGAUGAUCAGUAGCCGGUCUGAGAGGAUGAACGGCCACAUUGGGACUGAGACACGGCCCAGACUCCUACGGGAGGCAGCAGUGGGGAAUCUUCCGCAAUGGACGAAAGUCUGACGGAGCAACGCCGCGUGAGCGAUGACGGCCUUCGGGUUGUAAAGCUCUGUUAAUCGGGACGAAAGGCCUUCUUGCGAAUAGUGAGAAGGAUUGACGGUACCGGAAUAGAAAGCCACGGCUAACUACGUG